GACGAACGCUGGCGGCGUGCUUAACACAUGCAAGUCGAACGAUGAAGCCCAGCUUGCUGGGUGGAUUAGUGGCGAACGGGUGAGUAACACGUGGGCAACCUGCCCCAAACUCUGGGAUAACUCCUCGAAAGAGGUGCUAAUACCGGAUACGAACUAGGUAGACAUCUGCACUAGUUGGAAAGUUUUUCGGUUUGGGAUGGGCCCGCGGCCUAUCAGCUUGUUGGUGAGGUAACGGCUCACCAAGGCUACGACGGGUAACCGGCCUGAGAGGGCGACCGGUCACACUGGGACUGAGACACGGCCCAGACUCCUACGGGAGGCAGCAGUGGGGAAUAUUGCGCAAUGGGAGAAAGCCUGACGCAGCGACGCCGCGUGAGGGAUGAAGGUCUUCGGAUCGUAAACCUCUUUCAGUAGGGACGAAGCGAAAGUGACGGUACCUAAAGAAGAAGCACCGGCUAACUACGUGCCAGCAGCCGCAGUAA
RNAcentral lists this ribosomal RNA (482 nucleotides) under uncultured bacterium. Its description in RNAcentral is "partial 16S ribosomal RNA". It matches the Rfam family "Bacterial small subunit ribosomal RNA", at positions 28 to 523 of the family's 1533-position model. The record is from RNAcentral.